AACGACCUCAAAUUUCGAAAAAGUGAAAAAUUAAUUGAAACACAGAACAAUUAGUUGAUGAGCGAAGUUUCUUGCGUAGGUAACUGUUAGCUCUUGCGACACACUUACUACCGACAUUGAGUUCAUACCACAUUUAUAAAUUAGUGUAUGGCAAAAUUUUCCCUGUGAUCAAGCUCCAAGGGGCUGUCCAUCCUUUGCUUUGUUGUGAAAUCGAAUCAAUUCUCAGACUCUGUUAUCUU
Molecule: long non-coding RNA, 239 nt
Organism: Folsomia candida
Lineage: Eukaryota; Metazoa; Arthropoda; Collembola; Entomobryomorpha; Isotomidae
Exons: 2
Source: RefSeq, a predicted model, not a curated record